Molecule: ribosomal RNA, 426 nt
Filed under: uncultured prokaryote
Description: bacterial SSU rRNA
Rfam family: Bacterial small subunit ribosomal RNA
Source: RNAcentral
UGGGGAAUUUUCCGCAAUGGGCGCAAGCCUGACGGAGCAAUACCGCGUGAGGGAGGAAGGCUUUUGGGUUGUAAACCUCUUUUCUCAAGGAAGAAGCACUGACGGUACUUGAGGAAUCAGCAUCGGCUAACUCCGUGCCAGCAGCCGCGGUAAUACGGAGGGUGCAAGCGUUGUCCGGAUUUAUUGGGUUUAAAGGGUACGUAGGCGGGUUUUUAAGUCCGUGGUGAAAGCCUACAGCUUAACUGUAGAACUGCCAUGGAUACUGGAAAUCUUGAAUUCAGUUGAGGUAAGCGGAAUUUAUGAUGUAGCGGUGAAAUGCAUAGAUAUCAUAAAGAACACCUAUUGCGAAGGCAGCUUGCUGGACUUGGAUUGACGCUGAGGUACGAAAGCGUGGGGAGCGAACAGGAUUAGAUACCCCGGUAGUCC